RNAcentral lists this ribosomal RNA (230 nucleotides) under uncultured bacterium. RNAcentral describes it as "partial 16S ribosomal RNA". It matches the Rfam family "Bacterial small subunit ribosomal RNA", at positions 561 to 790 of the family's 1533-position model. The record is from RNAcentral.
UAAAGCGUGCGCAGGCGGUUUUGUAAGUUUGUCGUGAAAGCCCCGGGCUCAACCUGGGAAUUGCGAUGAAGACUGCAAGGCUUGAAUCUGGCAGAGGGGGGUAGAAUUCCACGUGUAGCAGUGAAAUGCGUAGAGAUGUGGAGGAACACCGAUGGCGAAGGCAGCCCCCUGGGUCAAGAUUGACGCUCAUGCACGAAAGCGUGGGGAGCAAACAGGAUUAGAUACCCUGU